CACUCCUACGGGAGGCAGCAGUGGGGAAUAUUGGACAAUGGGCGCAAGCCUGAUCCAGCCAUGCCGCGUGAGUGAUGAAGGCCCUAGGGUUGUAAAGCUCUUUCACCGGUGAAGAUAAUGACGGUAACCGGAGAAGAAGCCCCGGCUAACUUCGUGCCAGCAGCCGCGGUAAUACGAAGGGGGCUAGCGUUGUUCGGAUUUACUGGGCGUAAAGCGCACGUAGGCGGACUAUUAAGUCAGGGGUGAAAUCCCGGGGCUCAACCCCGGAACUGCCUUUGAUACUGGUAGUCUUGAGUUCGAGAGAGGUGAGUGGAAUUCCGAGUGUAGAGGUGAAAUUCGUAGAUAUUCGGAGGAACACCAGUGGCGAAGGCGGCUCACUGGCUCGAUACUGACGCUGAGGUGCGAAAGCGUGGGGAGCAAACAGGAUUAGAUACCCGUGUAGUCCC
This 446-nucleotide ribosomal RNA is filed under the name uncultured organism. Its description in RNAcentral is "partial 16S ribosomal RNA". It matches the Rfam family "Bacterial small subunit ribosomal RNA", at positions 334 to 797 of the family's 1533-position model. The record is from RNAcentral.